This 279-nucleotide ribosomal RNA is filed under the name uncultured bacterium. RNAcentral describes it as "partial 16S ribosomal RNA". It matches the Rfam family "Bacterial small subunit ribosomal RNA", at positions 506 to 784 of the family's 1533-position model. The record is from RNAcentral.
UGCCAGCAGCCGCGGUAAUACGGAGGGUGCAAGCGUUGUUCGGAUUUACUGGGCGUAAAGGGCGUGUAGGCGGAUUGUUAAGCCGGGGGUGAAAGCCCGAGGCCCAACCUCGGAGGGUCUCCCGGAACUGGCAGUCUAGAGAAAGUCAGAGGCAGGUGGAAUUCCAGGUGUAGAGGUGAAAUUCGUAGAGAUCUGGAGGAACACCCGUGGCGAAGGCGGUCUCUUGGUCCUAUACUGACGCUGAGGCUCGAAAGCGUGGGGAGCAAACAGGAUUAGAUA